Molecule: non-coding RNA, 552 nt
Organism: Pimephales promelas (fathead minnow)
Lineage: Eukaryota; Metazoa; Chordata; Actinopteri; Cypriniformes; Leuciscidae
Source: RefSeq, a predicted model, not a curated record
CGGGACCACUGCUACUGGUAAACAACAAAACUCCCUCUCUCGCUGUUGUUUCAACUUUUCACGGCUUUUUUCAGUAGUAACGAAAUAACCCAUAACAGAGAGAAAGCUCCUACUUCAACAUUUCUGAAGAAAGCUGCUGCCGGAGAAGUAACGUUAGGACACAGAACAAGUCUGUGACUGACUUAAUGAACCCAGUUGGUUUGGAUCAUGCUCAAAGAUGUAAGGGUUACAAAAAGUUAACCAGAACUCUUAUGAACUCCAUCUUGUCUUUCAAAGAGAUGGUAACAUGAACGGAAAAAAAGGGGUUGUUGGUGAAAAAAGAGCCUUGACCUACAAAAGGUGCAGCUAAUAAUUGACUAUGUCAAAAAGAGGCACCCAGGCAUCGGAGGCACUGAGAUCAAGGUCUGCAUGACACAAAAGUUAAGAGAUCUGAGGAGACGAGCAGAAAGAUGACUGUGGUGAAGAUGGAUGAAGAUGGAUGAGGCUUUCAAGUGCAGGAUCUACAAUUGUUUUCGUUUCACCUUUUCGUUUUGCCUGUUUUGAAUGUGAUGC